Molecule: long non-coding RNA, 171 nt
Organism: Sinocyclocheilus grahami
Lineage: Eukaryota; Metazoa; Chordata; Actinopteri; Cypriniformes; Cyprinidae
Exons: 2
Source: RefSeq, a predicted model, not a curated record
GCACAGCGUCUCCCAUCCAGAAUCUGAAGACAACAGUCAGAAAUCCAUCUGUAAUGAGCUCAAAUGACCCUCACAGCCGUCCUGUUUGGGAGUCUCCUCUUGUGGUGUGUGGGGUCGUGCUGCUGGUCAUGACUGCAUUUUUGGCACUUUGGAAGUUAAGGCAACUGUGUA